RNAcentral lists this ribosomal RNA (620 nucleotides) under Grosmannia aurea. Its description in RNAcentral is "eukaryotic LSU rRNA". It matches the Rfam family "Eukaryotic large subunit ribosomal RNA", at positions 1 to 640 of the family's 3401-position model. The record is from RNAcentral. Lineage: Eukaryota; Fungi; Ascomycota; Sordariomycetes; Ophiostomatales; Ophiostomataceae.
UUGACCUCGGAUCAGGUAGGACUACCCGCUGAACUUAAGCAUAUCAAUAAGCGGAGGAAAAGAAACCAACAGGGAUUGCCCCAGUAACGGCGAGUGAAGCGGCAACAGCUCAGAUUUGGAAUCUGGCCCCCAGGGCCCGAGUUGUAAUCUGGAGAGGAUGCUUCUGGCGCGGCGCCUUCCGAGUUCCCUGGAACGGGACGCCGGAGAGGGUGAGAGCCCCGUACGGUUGGACGCCUAGCCUUUGUGAAGCUCCUUCGACGAGUCGAGUAGUUUGGGAAUGCUGCUCAAAAUGGGAGGUAAAUUUCUUCUAAAGCUAAAUACCGGCCAGAGACCGAUAGCGCACAAGUAGAGUGAUCGAAAGAUGAAAAGCACUUUGAAAAGAGGGUCAAACAGUACGUGAAAUUGUUGAAAGGGAAGCGCCCGUGGCCAGACUUGUGCCCCGCGGACCACCCGGCGCCCUCAGCGCCGGUGCACUCCGCGGGGCGCAGGCCAGCAUCGGUUUUCCUAGGGGGAUAAAGGCGGCGGGAACGUGGCUCCCUCGGGAGUGUUAUAGCCCGCCGCGCCAUGCCCCUGGGGGGACCGAGGACCGCGCUUCGGCAAGGAUGCUGGCGUAAUGGCCA